This 448-nucleotide long non-coding RNA is filed under the name Bos taurus (domestic cattle). RNAcentral describes it as "long non-coding RNA NONBTAT025738". The record is from RNAcentral. Lineage: Eukaryota; Metazoa; Chordata; Mammalia; Artiodactyla; Bovidae.
GGUUUUUGAAAGAUCCACAUUUUGGUUCUAUAUAAAAGAAAACCUAAAGAACUCAAGAGAGAAAUAACCCCUUUAAAGACUGAGCUAAAUGGAUAAUUAAUGGCUCCAUUUUAAUUGGACAAAGAAUCAAAAUGAAAGAUGAGCCAGAAUUAAAUGAGUUCCUGACAAAAAGGAAUCAGUUACUUGUAAUUUUCUUAUUAAGGGAGUGUCUUUGUUUUAGAUUAUCCCAAUACUAGAUAUCCAUUUCAAUCAUGUCCAUUCUAAAUAAAUAAUUUAGUAUAUUGUUCAGAUUUUCAGUGACUGUCUUGUAAUUGUGAUAGUGUAAUAAAUUAGGCAAAAUUACUUGAAGCAAAUGCUUAUGAAGUCAUCAGAAAACAAUUAUCUCCAGUUUCUAUUUAUAUUUUUUCCCCACUUUUAGUAAACUAUCACAAAGAUGAUGCUUACACAG